This 304-nucleotide unclassified non-coding RNA is filed under the name plant metagenome. RNAcentral's name for it is "partial contains 5.8S ribosomal RNA, internal transcribed spacer 2, and large subunit ribosomal RNA". The stretch from base 1 to 105 matches the Rfam family "5.8S ribosomal RNA", at positions 50 to 154 of the family's 154-position model. The record is from RNAcentral.
GAAAUGCGAUAAGUAAUGUGAAUUGCAGAAUUCCGUGAAUCAUCGAAUCUUUGAACGCACAUUGCGCCCCCUGGCAUUCCGGGGGGCGUGCCUGUCCGAGCGUCAUUUCUGCCCUCAAGCACGGCUUGUGUGUUGGGUGUGGUCCCCCCGGGGACCUGCCCGAAAGGCAGCGGCGACGUCCGUCUGGUCCUCGAGCGUAUGGGGCUCUGUCACUCGCUCGGGAAGGACCUGCGGGGGUUGGUCACCACCAUAUUUCACCACGGUUGACCUCGGAUCAGGUAGGAGUUACCCGCUGAACUUAAGC